UUGCACUUGUAUCACUGGCCUCUCUAUUUCUGAUGGACUGGCCUGAGCUAGGUGCAUAAAGAAAAGCUGCUUCAUCAGCAGCAGUCAUACAACUGCUGAGCUGGAUCUACAGGUGAAUGGUUUAAUGUGCUAUUUGCCUACUGAUUCCAUUUCACACUU
Malania oleifera is the source of this 159-nucleotide small nucleolar RNA. RefSeq annotates it as small nucleolar RNA snoR143. The transcript has a single exon. The record is from RefSeq and is a predicted model, not a curated record. NCBI's taxonomy places the organism in Eukaryota, Viridiplantae, Streptophyta, Magnoliopsida, Santalales, Ximeniaceae.